Ciona savignyi (Pacific transparent sea squirt) is the source of this 82-nucleotide non-coding RNA. The record is from Rfam. Lineage: Eukaryota; Metazoa; Chordata; Ascidiacea; Phlebobranchia; Cionidae.
GUCGUCGUGGCCGAGUGUUUAAGGCGACAGACUAGAAAUCUGUUGGGCUCUGCCCGCACAGGUUCGAAUCCUGUCGGCGACG